Molecule: long non-coding RNA, 3096 nt
Organism: Papaver somniferum (opium poppy)
Lineage: Eukaryota; Viridiplantae; Streptophyta; Magnoliopsida; Ranunculales; Papaveraceae
Exons: 4
Source: RefSeq, a predicted model, not a curated record
GUUCCCAUUUUAGUGCCAGCCGCUGAUUACCUCAUACCACCACCACCACCACAACCACCGCCACCCCUGAAAUUAAAUUUGCUUCCGACUCACUUUCGAAUGCUCCCAGGGCACACUCUCUCCUGCUUUCAAAGAAAAUGAAUUUGGGUCAAAGAUUAUUACAGGUUAAUGCAAGAACUAUCUCCAAUUUUUAUUAUCAUCAAUCAUUUCUUCAGCAUAAUUGUUAUGAAAUAUUUUUGAGAUAUUAUUAUUAUGGUUCUGGUGGUCAUAAUAAUCGAGUUACACAACUUGAGAAUUUUAUGAUGGAUGAGUGUAAAUCUGGUAAGAUUAAGAAGCUUGAUGAUGGUUUGAAAUACUUUGAUUAGUUGAUUCUGGAAAGGCCAUUACCAUCGAAUGGCACAUUCUGUCAUGUAUUAAGUUCAUUGUAGAAGAUUAGGUGUUAUUCAGAUGUCAUUAUGUUGUAUAAGAAGAUGAAUUUGCUUGGAGUAAAACCCGAUAUUUCCACAUUCAACAUUUUGAUUAACUGUUGUUGUAAACUAGUCCAAGUGAAUCACGGGUUCUGUUUGCUUGGAGAGAUUAUUAAGAGAGGUCAUCAGCCUAAUGUUAUCACUUUCACUACAUUGAUUAAUGGGUUGUGUGUUCAAGAAAAGAUUGACUUUGCAUUCAAGGUGUUCGAGAAAAUGAUCGAGACAGGUGUUCUACCUAACUCCUUCACAUGUAAUACUCUAUACACGGGCUUUGCAGAACUGGUAAAGUGGAUCUUGCUCUUCACCUAAAAAACAAGAUGGUGAAAUGGAACUGCAGACCUAAUGCUGUUUCAUAUUGUGUGAUUAUAGAUACUCUUUGUAAAGGAGGUUUAGUUGAUAAAGCUUUAGUUCUUUACUUCUUUUCUCUGAAAUGCGUAGAGAUUUAGAUGUUGUUCCUAACGUAGUUGUUUACAUUUCUUUGAUCAAUGGGCUUUCUAGUUCAGGUCGCUUGAAUGAGGCCAAGAGAUUCCUUGAAGAGAUGGGCAAUAGAGUAAUCUCUGCAGAUGUAAAGACUUAUAAUACUAUCAUUCAUGGUUACUGCUUACAUGGUCAAUGGAAAGAAGCGAGAAGAUAUUUUGAUCAAAUGAUGUAGGGAUUAUAUGGCUAAGGGUUUGAACAAUAUCCAUAUAAUCUGAAGAAUAAAGAUAGAUGAACAUGUCUUGGCCAUGGGUUGCAGCGUUAAGUAGUUAAUCUUUUUAAAAAAUGACAGCGGAAGAUAAACGACUUGAUUCAAUGGCAGACUGCAAAUUUCAGGGCACUGAAAUCAACUUAAAAAUGGGGUACAGCGAAGAGGGCGGAGAGGGAGCUUUAUCUGGUAGAAAUGAUCAGGAAAUUGUCACAUGCUGUUUUUCCUGGUCGAACAAGGUUGGAUGUCAACUAUGGUGUACGAGCAAUGAUGUUGGUGGUGAUGAAAGUGAAAUCUCUACUACAAUGUUCAUGUCUAGACACACUUCAUUUUCCAACCCAGCUAUGCCAGUAAAGCCUGAUCGCAGUACAAUGACAUUCAGGAUUGUUUGAAUCACAAUAAAGUGUCUCUACUGGGUGUGGAGGAAGGUGAGAAUCUGACAAGUUUGAUUGAAGUAGCUGGAAUCUCAAAUGAUAAUUGGAAGUACCAGAUCCAGAAGAGUUGCACUACACUCAGUUCUUCGAUUUUUUGUGGAUAAAAAGCACAGUUCAAUUGUUUUCAUGAUGACGAGGCAUAUAUAAGGGCAUCCACAAUCAGUGAGAGAACAAAAUUGCAGUUAAUUCUGUACCAAGUGAUGCUGUUCAGUUGGAUUCUUCUCCUAAAAUCUCAAAGUCUCACAAUCCCUCAAAGGGAGAUACACUUAAGGAAUAUGGCCUUCCAUGUGAAGUGUGUUAGUAGAAACACAUGUGCUCAAGCUAAGGAUACAAAUGCCCUUGGUCUGUUGUCAUUUCUAUAGCCGUGACGGGGGUUGAGAAAGAGGUGCAGCGAGAAAGUUGUCAGCGUCACCAACUUAAGUGGCACUUUAGCAUUAGUGAUGAGGUACUGUCAAUGAUGAAAAUGCUUUUUUUUGGUCUCCUCGGAUGCUGCUUCAGCUAAAGUACCAGUUUUGUUGGAGGUUUCUCCAUGGGUAGCUCAAUUGCACUCAAAUUUUCGCUGGUUGGGAAUUACAAGCCUGUGAUAAAUUUCGCUCAAGGCUUUAACUUUCAUAAGUGUGUCUAUUUAAGUCGUCCGAGAAACACUGUGGCAGACCUCCUUGGAUUGUAUACGAUGUUUUUGACAAAGAGGUGGAUAAAUCGAAUGGGCAUUUACUAAAGAGUUAUCCAGGAUAGCAACAGAGGCAGUUGGGUUUAUCUACCAAAUCUGGUUGACUAAAGGAGUCUGACAAAGAGCAAAUGAAGUUCCGGAUCCAGAUUCCAGUCUUUAAACGCAGAUAUAAAAAUUCACCUGACAAGCCUAAUUCUAGUUCUAAGGGAAUUGAAGACGACAUUCAGGAGAUUGGAAACAAAUGCAGAAGGAGAUGGGAAAUCUGGAUUCUGGAGGUUGUGAAGAGUACAGAAGGAGAUAAUAACGUUGUUGUUCCAUCAGUAUAGAGCAAACAGUGGAGCUCGUUGUGAACCUUUGUUUCAGCUAUAGUUCCAUCAGUAUAGAGCAACAAAUGAAGCUGAAGGAACAGCUAAAGAAAUUGGUACUUGGGGUAUAAGGAUAGAUUCAAGGUGCAGAACAUAUCUGAAGAGUCUGAACAGGUUCAUCAGAUAGAUGCAGGUGCAGUUGGCGAGAAUGUAGAGAAGGUUAGCACAAUAGAAAUAUGCAAUCUGAAGUUGUUAACAGAUUUUGUAAAUUUUGUUGAUACUGCUCUUCAAAACUUGGUUGCUGCAUAAAGAUGUGUUAUUUGUCUUGGGGGUCAAAUCCCCAUCACCUGAUACAUGGUUGUUUAAGGCGGUUAGGCUUGCAAGUGGUGCCAGGCCCAUCUAGCUAGGUCGGGCCAGAGGGUCAGGCCUAGCUUUGCCAGAACAUCAUAAACUUAAUAAUUUAUGCAUGUGGUACAGCUUAUUAUGCACACUCCGCCCAGUGAACCUCAUGUUCCAAGCCAUACAUUAAAUGCUA